AUCAGAGAUCUGUUGCGAGGUUGCCCGAGGGAAGAUAGGUACGUCACGGGGGUGGCAGGGCCCUCAACGGGCAGGGGCGUGGCCAGAGGAGGGCGAAGUCGGGACGUUAAGGGCCGCAGAGCGCGUGCGCAGGAACGUGGAAAGUUCCAGGACACGGAACCGUUGGGACGGAGGACCUGAAGGUGGAGUGAGGUAUCACGGGGUUUGGUGAUGACGUAGUCGGUCGAGGCCGGAAGCGUGGGCCACAGGGCUUUGAGCGGAAGCUGUCGACCUUGCACGGUGAUGGCGCUCCUCGUGACCCCUUGUAUCCCCUCAGGCUCGAGCCAGGAGCCUAGGUCCACUUUGAAAAUGGACUCACCCUGAAUUCUUUCUUGCACGAGAUCCAAGAAUUCUCCCUUGGGAUCUGGAUUGGACCCCUUUCCUG
This 424-nucleotide long non-coding RNA is filed under the name Pan troglodytes (chimpanzee). Its description in RNAcentral is "long non-coding RNA NONPTRT017869". Lineage: Eukaryota; Metazoa; Chordata; Mammalia; Primates; Hominidae. The record is from RNAcentral.